This 278-nucleotide long non-coding RNA is filed under the name Manihot esculenta (cassava). RNAcentral describes it as "long non-coding RNA (MESC_LNC007190)". Lineage: Eukaryota; Viridiplantae; Streptophyta; Magnoliopsida; Malpighiales; Euphorbiaceae. The record is from RNAcentral.
GGGCGGUGGUAAAGAUGGUGCAUCCUCCAUUAUACCUUUUGCUCUCACCAAUAAAGCUAGUGUGCCUCCAGAUUUCUCAACUGCGCCUGAUAGCUUCUGCACUCCCGUAGAAACAGCAACAGUAUGCUUCCCUUCCACCUUAGAAUGUUUCGCAGAACCGGAAGGCAAGAUAGUAAUCUUCUUUUGAUUCCACGUGAACAUGUAUGAAUUCUCCUUCCCUUUAUGCAAAGCAUCAACGUCGAAUUGCCACAGGCGACCUAGCAAAAUGCCACAACAAU